RNAcentral lists this ribosomal RNA (459 nucleotides) under uncultured bacterium. RNAcentral describes it as "partial 16S ribosomal RNA". It matches the Rfam family "Bacterial small subunit ribosomal RNA", at positions 339 to 795 of the family's 1533-position model. The record is from RNAcentral.
CUACGGGUCGCAGCAGUGAGGAAUAUUGGUCAAUGGGCGCGAGCCUGAACCAGCCAUCCCGCGUGCAGGAUGACGGCCCUAUGGGUUGUAAACUGCUUUUCUAUGCCAAGAAACCUGAUUACGUGUAAUCAGUUGCCGGUAGCAUAGGAAUAAGCAUCGGCUAACUCCGUGCCAGCAGCCGCGGUAAUACGGAGGAUGCAAGCGUUAUCCGGAUUCAUUGGGUUUAAAGGGUGCGCAGGUGGGCUUGUAAGUCAGUGGUGAAAUGCUGCCGCUUAACGGUAGAACUGCCAUUGAUACUGCGAGUCUUGAGGAUGGUUGAGGUAGGCGGAAUGUGUUGUGUAGCGGUGAAAUGCAUAGAUAUGACACAGAACGCCAAUUGCGAAGGCAGCUUACUAAGCCAUUACUGACGCUGAGGCACGAAAGCGUGGGGAGCGAACAGGAUUAGAUACCCUAGUAGUC